This 4192-nucleotide long non-coding RNA is filed under the name Triticum aestivum (bread wheat). RNAcentral describes it as "long non-coding RNA (TAES_LNC004807)". Lineage: Eukaryota; Viridiplantae; Streptophyta; Magnoliopsida; Poales; Poaceae. The record is from RNAcentral.
CGAAUAGGCCACCACGGUUCUUCAUUCUUCAGGUAAAAUGUAAAUGUUAAUUUUUUAUUAGCUAGUAGAUUGACACUUCAUCUCUAUAGUUUUGUAUUCUUUCUGCUUGUUAAUGUUGAAUCUGUCCAUUUAGUUCUUGGGUAGCAACUGAAGAAGAAUGAACAGCAGCCCGAGUAGCAUAGAAGCUGAUCUGCUCUGGGGUGAUUCUUAUGUUUGUUGGGUUCUUGUUUUUUUUUGAGAAGCAACAAGUUGAUUAGUGCUAUUACUUAGUUAUGGUAUUGUGUAGUGCUACUGGCUCAUGGAGAUCUUGUUUUGGCUUCAAUGGCUACUUCAGCUGUACCAAGCGCGUGUACCAACUGUACAUAAACGCUAUCCGAUUUCUAGAAGGAAGCAAUACACUAGCAAAUCUAGCUAUUCCGGUCAGAUGCACUAGUACACGAAGUAGGCUGCUCUGGCUUUGUCGAUUCUUCAGCGGCAAGCCGAAACGCACACAUGUAACACACAAUGGCUAUUUUUCUUUUUCUCUCUCUCCAAGAUACAUAUGCUGAAUAGACACAAAGAUGCCAUUACAUAUUUUGCUAGGGGAUUCGUUGGGUUGGCUAUUCCUUUUAAAUGCUUACUGAUGAUCUUUCAUCCCCAAAAGUCUGACAUUUGUUAUUGGCUGGGUGCUCGCUCCAGUAUUUCUAUGCACAUGAAUAUUUUCCUGUCCUUCUGAGAGUAAUUAAUUACAUUUCCCUAAUCUUUCCCAUAAGCCAUGCCUUUGAUAUGACCCAUGUGGCAGAAGUUUGACAUGGAAAAGAUGAUCCCCAGUCUAAAUUUGCAAUUCUCAUCACAGGAUCCAAUAAUGGAGGGUAGCAGUGCGAUGUCUCCUCUAGUAGAGCCCUCAAUUGCAAUGAUCGCAGCAUGUGCACCAGCACUAUCAGGUGACAAUAGUGAUACGAGAAAAUCAAGAUUUCCUAAUGUAUCUAACAUUAUGUUAAUCCCUUGUGUGCUAUUGGUUGCUAAAAAAUUGUUUGCAGCCAUGGAAUCGGUUAACAGUGUUCAAAAUCAAGAUUUCAGCGAUGCAACGUCAUUCGCAGAAAUUAAUUCCCCAAUGCUCCAUGGAAGGAAUUGAAUUCCUGCACAAUAGUUUGUGUGGCAUUGCUGUGAAAAGGAAGAUAGUUGCUGUGAGGGACAAGCUAGAAGAUCUCAUACGAAAAUCCAAACGCUCCAUGGAAGGAAUUGAAUUCCUGCACAAUAGUUUGUGUGGCAUUGAGUUGGGUUUAGCCCAACUAGUUUCGACCGUACCAUGCAAUACACAAGAAAAUGAGGAGUCAUGUAUUGGGAGUGUCAUUCCAAAGGAUGUUACCAUCCUCACACCUAAGGAUAUCAAUGCAAGGGGCACAUGCUCUAGAAUAAAGCGCCAUAGGGAUGGUGCGAGGAGUGGAUCCGGUGAGAAGAGAAGGCCUGGAAUUCAUCAAAAAGUCAAGCACAAAUGCAGCAUUUGUAAGGAAAUGGUGUUUCAUGAUGCAAGAACAUAUUCUAAGAAACAAACAACAAAACAGUCACUAGUACAAAACAGGGCUUUCGUCACAGGGCAAUAUUCACAUUAGUCCCGGUUCAGUCACGAACCGGGACUAAUGUGAGCAUUGGUCCCGGUUCGUGCGGCUAAGGCAUUAGUCCCGGUUCACCUGGGCCCUUUAGUCCCGGUUGGUGCCACGAACCAGGACUAAAGGGUGCGAUGCCCAUUAGUACCGGUUGGUGGCACCAACCAGUACUAAUGGGCUUUGAGGCAUUAGUACCGGUUCAUGGCACGAACCGGUACUAAAGGUCCCAUUUUCAAACUCUACCCCCCCCUUGGACCGCCUUUUCAGUUUUAGAAAAAACAAAAGAAAAUGAUGGAAAUGUCAAAAAAAUAAAAUAAAAUAAGUUUCCCAUGUGAUUGUGGUCUAGUUGUUGGGAAAAUUUACAAAUAUGAAUUUCGUCUUUAUUUGCAAAAUCUCUCUGGAAUUUGUAAAAUGGGCAUAACUUUUGCAUACGAACUCGGAUUAAAAAGUUUUUUAUAUGAAAAAUCAUCUACUCGGAAAGUUACAUCCGAAUUUAACUGGGGAACCUUGUUAAACAUUUUCAAAAUCCUCAAAUACCUAACAGAAAAAAGUUACGGGGCUUUUAAGAUCUGGAGAGGCAAAAAAAUUCAAAAAAUUUCAAACUUACUAGUGGGAAACUUACUAGUAACAGAAAAAAUAUAUAGUUUCAAAUUUUAUAUUUGGAAAAAAUGUGGUCAAAUCUGGUCAAACUGUGGUCAAACUAUGGUCAAACAAUGGUCAAACUAAUUAUUCUAGAAUAUUAGUGUUACUAAAUAAUUAUUUCAGUUUUUUUGAAUUUUGGUCAAAUCUGGUCAAACUGUGGUCAAACAAUGGUCAAACUAAUUAUUCCAGAAAUAUUAGUGUUACUAAAUAAUUAUUGUUUUUUAAAACAAUAGUUUCAAACUCAAACAGUGAAAUGUGUCACUUCAUGCUCAAGCUAAAUUCCUGAGGGUUAAUAGGAUUGACAUCUUACUAUUGUCAGGAAAACAAUAAGUGCAGACUUGGAAACGAGGGAGAAUAGAACCCGGAAGUUAAGUAUGCUCAGGCUGGAGUAGUGAGAGGAUGGGUGACCGUCCGAGAAGUUAGAUGAUUUGGAAUGAUGAGGGGUGAUUAGAGAUUAGAGGAUAAAUUGAGCAGUGAUGAGGGGUGGUGAUUAGAGAUUAGAGGUUAAAAUAAUUCAGAAAUUUAAAAAUAAAAAAAAUUCAAAAAAAAAAUUCAGAAAAAAAAAUCAUAAAAUUUCCUUUAGUCCCGGUUGGUGUUACCAACCGGGACUAAAGGUGGAGCUCCACGUGGCCGCGGCCUUUAGUCCCGGUAACCGGGACUAAAGGGGGAGGCAUUAGUAACGACCCUUUAGUCCCGGUUCAAAAACCGGGACUAAAGGCCCUUACCAACCGGGCCAAAAGCCCCUUUCUCUACUAGUGAGUAGAGGUUUGUGCUCCUUCUUGCUUUGAAGACUACCACUUAUUUGUCUUGCUAUGACCGCUCAACUAGGCUGAUUAAAAUGAUUAGGCAUACAUAAAUCAUUUACCAAAGAUAUGUGCGCCUUCCAUUUUUUUACUGGCCUAUGGUAUGGCUACAACAAGGAUGUGUGUAUGUGCUUUAGUACUAAUCCUUCGUCCAUGACAUGAGCCAAUCUGCCAUCUUGUUCAUUUAUUUUUUUCCCAUGCUUCUGUGGUUUUCUUAUUAUUACAAGAUAUAAUAUAAUGCAUGCCAUCAGGUUUUUUGUUUAUAGCUAUCAAAUUUGAAUAAUAAUUUGCAUCUGCAGGACAGUCAUAAAACUCCCUUUAAAUUGCUCAAUGCCCCUUAUUUGUCGUUCUCAUUUGUGCUUUUAACUAAUCAUGGAAUUGUAAUGCAUUUAUCAUAGGUCUAUAAUGGAAUAAUGAACAAAAUAUGUGUACUCUCCCUAUUAGACAUAUCCAACUGUCACAGGCUAUUUUAUUUGAUUUGAAAACUCCCUUCUAGAUGCUGGAAAGCCAGUUUAACUUACAAAGUUAUCCUGAUUGGUUACAUAUGUAUUAAUAUGUUUCAAGAAUUUCAUCCUAAGUUUGGCAUAUAGGUUAUGUAUCCUAGGUUGGAGUGCUGAAUGCAACUAGACAUAUAUAAUGACUGUCUCUCUUCUCGAGAUAUGCUAUUUGGUAUAUGUUUCUGAUUGACACCUAUUUACUUGGUGUGUUUACCUAGGUAGGUCGAACUGAUCAAGUCUAUAAGAGUCCAAUCUCUCCCAUCAGGAAGCUCGGUUACCAGGAAGCACUAACACGAGGCAGAAUGAUAGAUAUUUUCGGUCUUGUACCAGCAAGACGCUUGUUGGGCGAUGAUAAUUUCAGUCUUUACCACUUGGUCUUGCUGGCCAUAUACUAAAAAUGAUCUAUAUGUUUCAUGUACUCAAGUACUCAAAUGCUUGUUGAGCACUGAUAAAUUCAGUCCUUAAUUUGUUCUACUUCCAGUUUGACAUGUACGUGUGGUUCUACUUGCCUCUUGUGAUGUGUUCUCAUGUACUCAAGUACUGAAAUGCUUGCUGAACAGCGAUAAUUUCAAUCCUUAAAUUGCUAUAUUUUCCAGUUUGACAUGUAUGUGUGGUCGUACUUGAUCUGGGAUGGCUUAUUAUCUCACGUGCUAAAAUAUUUGUG